UACCUUAAUCAGGGGGAUAGCCCGAAGAAAUUCGGAUUAACACCGCAUAAAAACACAGGGUAGCAUUAUCCAAUGUUCAAAUAUUUAUAGGAUUAAGAUGGGCAUGCGUGUCAUUAGCUAGUUGGUUGGGGUAACGGCCCACCAAGGCGACGAUGACUAGGGGAUCUGAGAGGAUGACCCCCCACACUGGUACUGAGACACGGACCAGACUCCUACGGGAGGCAGCAGUAAGGAAUAUUGGUCAAUGGAGGCAACUCUGAACCAGCCAUGCCGCGUGCAGGAAGACUGCCCUAUGGGUUGUAAACUGCUUUUAUCCGGGAAUAAACCUGCUUACGUGUAAGUAGCUGAAUGUACCGGAAGAAUAAGGAUCGGCUAACUCCGUGCCAGCAGCCGCGGUAAU
Molecule: ribosomal RNA, 400 nt
Filed under: uncultured bacterium
Lineage: Bacteria
Description: bacterial SSU rRNA
Rfam family: Bacterial small subunit ribosomal RNA
Source: RNAcentral